AUGCAAGUCGAGCGAAUGGAUUAAGAGCUUGCUCUUAUGAAGUUAGCGGCGGACGGGUGAGUAACACGUGGGUAACCUGCCCAUAAGACUGGGAUAACUCCGGGAAACCGGGGCUAAUACCGGAUAACAUUUUGAACCGCAUGGUUCGAAAUUGAAAGGCGGCUUCGGCUGUCACUUAUGGAUGGACCCGCGUCGCAUUAGCUAGUUGGUGAGGUAACGGCUCACCAAGGCAACGAUGCGUAGCCGACCUGAGAGGGUGAUCGGCCACACUGGGACUGAGACACGGCCCAGACUCCUACGGGAGGCAGCAGUAGGGAAUCUUCCGCAAUGGACGAAAGUCUGACGGAGCAACGCCGCGUGAGUGAUGAAGGCUUUCGGGUCGUAAAACUCUGUUGUUAGGGAAGAACAAGUGCUAGUUGAAUAAGCUGGCACCUUGACGGUACCUAACCA
RNAcentral lists this ribosomal RNA (450 nucleotides) under Bacillus cereus. Its description in RNAcentral is "bacterial SSU rRNA". It matches the Rfam family "Bacterial small subunit ribosomal RNA", at positions 55 to 485 of the family's 1533-position model. The record is from RNAcentral. Lineage: Bacteria; Bacillati; Bacillota; Bacilli; Caryophanales; Bacillaceae.